UAUACACAAUGGAAUAUUACUCAGCCAUUAAAAGGAUCAAAAUACGGGCAUUUUUAGCAACAUGGAUGGACCUAGAAAUUAUCAUGCUAAGUGAAGUCAGACAAUGAGACACAAACACUAAAUGCUAUCACCUACAUGUGGAAUCUAAAAAGAUGACACAAUGAACUUCUUCACAGAACAAAUACUGACUCACAUACUUUGAAAAACUUAACGAUUUCCAAAUGAGACAGGUUGGGGAGUGGGAGAAUGUACUGAGGGUUUUGGAUGGAAAUGCUAUAAAAUUGGGUUGUGAUGUUUGUUGUACAACUAUAAAUGUAAUAAAAUUCAUUGAGCAAUUAAAAAAAAAUUCCAAAUAGCAGUGGCUUAAACAAGAUAGAAGUCCCUUUUAAGAUGUAAGCAGUCCUGGCCCACAAUUAGCAGGUCACCUUGUUGCCUCCAGUUCUCAAGUGGCUUCUUUUUUAUGGUUCAAGAUAGUUGGUCAAGCUCCAGCAGUUACAUUUAGUUUCAGCCAGUGGAAAAGAAAAAGCGACAAAGACAUGCCGCCUUCAUUUAAGAGCACUUUCCAGAAGUUAACCACACACUCUGCUUACAUUCCAUAUCAAAAAAUUAAGUCAUAUGUUGAUUUUUAACUGUAGAUGAGGGUGGAAAAUGUAUUCUUUAUUCCAGAUAGUCAUAUGCUCAACUGAAAAUCAGCUCUAUGACCAAGGAAGGAGAGAGCAAAUAUUAGGUUCUAAUCAGCCAGAUUAUUUUCUAUUGUUAACUCUAGGUCUGUUGCAUAACUAUGGCAAACUAUUCCUUCCCCAUUUCAAUGGUGAUUUAUUAUUCAGAAGUAAGCGCUGACAUCAUCUCUGUGUUUUAUCCCUUCCAAAAUGGGUCCAGUUUGAUGAAGUGGAAAUUAUUUUUUCCACACAGAAAUUAUGUUGAAUUUAUCUUAAUAACAUUAUUGUCACAUGAGUCCUACAAUGAAAAGACUUAUGAACAUGGGCUUCUGAGGAACACUAGUUUUUAUAAAUGGGUGAGGGUGUGUUUCUUCGAAGUCCUCCUAAUGCUCUGCCUAUAACCAGCUCUAUGUCUGCUUAAAUAACCAGUGGUCUUACACUUUAGUGUACAUGCCAUCAAAUUGCAUGAUAUUGAAUUAAAAUUCAAUAAUAAGAUAAUCGAAGAAGUUUCCCAGCAGAGGUGUCCAUAUGAUUGCCCAGCAGAUGGUAAACUCACUUUCUCUGACUUAGUUAGUCUUGUUCUAAGUCAAUUAGUUUCUUCACAGCACAUCCAGGAUAAGUACAUCAGAAUCCAGCCACUUCUCAAAAAUCUCUCCUGAUAGCCACCAUCAUUUCUCACCUGCAAAAAACCUUCUAAAUGAUCUCAGAACUUCAGUUUAUUUUUCAACACGGAGUAUUAUUUUAAGAAUUAGAAUUAUUUUUUUAACAUAUAAACCAGAGCAUGUCCCCUUUUGGCUCAAAAGCAUCUCAAUAAGAGUAAAUGGCCAGGCCCUUGCUUGUACCUCCAGGACCCUAUCUGACCUGUUGCCAACACUCCUUCACACUAUUGCCCAAACCCUCCAACUUUAUCGCCUACUUCUUUUCUCUGACUCAUGGUGCUCUAACCAAGAAAGACCACAUGGAUGUCAAACACAUCAAGCAUACACCUUCCUCAGGACCUUUGCAUCCUUUUUUUUUCUUCUGAUUAGUAUGCUUUUCUUCCAGUUAUUUGUAUGUCUUGAACCAUUACUUCUUUUUUAGUUCUCUACUCAAAAAUAAUCUUACUUGUGAUAUCUUUUCUUACCAUCCUAAAUAAAAAUAAAAGCUCCUACCAAGACACCAUACUCUUCUCACUUUUCUUCACUGAUCUCUAUAGCAUGUGCCAUUAUAUGAUGCUUCUUAUUGCCUUGCUGACUAAUUUAUUUAUUGCUAUACCUCUUUUGGAAUGUAUGUUCCAUGAGGAUAGGAACUUUGUUUUAUUUGUAGCUGUAUCCCAUUCCUAGAAUAGUAUUUGUCAUGUACUGGUGCUUAAAAACAAUGUAUUUUUAAAUGAAAAAUAGCAAUGUACAUCCCAGAGUUCUUUCAAAGUCCUUGAAGGACAUUGUCUGAUUUUAUUUUUCACUAUAUUUGGUGAAAAGAUACAAAACCUCCUAGAUUUUCUUCACCAUUUGUUUUAGAAGCAUUAGCAGAGUGCUUUGAAAGGCAAGAGACAGACAUUUCCAGACUCAUCAGGUUAUGUACAUUAAAUAUGUACAUCUUUUUAUAUGUCAGUCACACCUCAAUAAAAUGGUUUGUAAAAAAAAAUCACAAUAUAUCAUACUGUUUUAUACAUUAGGACUAGAAAUAUUUAAUUCCAUAACUGCCUCUAUAUGUGAUUAUUGACAGAGGAUAUAGCUAAGUAAAUUUCCUAGUUGGAUGUGUAUAAUGAUUUAUACUGCAUAUUUACUUGUAUACAAAAAUAUAAAUAGAUAAUCCAUGAAUAUUUACUGAAAUGAAAAUGUAGGUGGAAUAAAUAUCUGUUGAAAUUAUUUUCUGAAUCUUUUUUCUAUAGUUUAUGCUUUAAAAUAUAAUUUAACCUUUUGAGAAUAGUAAUGAAUUCUGGAUCUUUUUGUUGUUCUGUACAUAAGACUAGAUUCUAUUGACAUUCAGGUAACUAUGUCUUAGUGACAGCUACCAUAUGUCAUUUAGAUAAAAAUAAGUUAAAAUAUGAAUUGAUAAAGUAAAUUAUAUAAUUAUGAAAAAGAUUUUGAGUAUACAUUGCAUUAUGAAAACUAGGUAUAGUCACAUUAAAAAUAUAUCCAAAUAGUGUUGAUUAAUCCUUCUAUCUUAAACAGAAAGGAAUGUUUUCCUGAAAACAAUAAUGAAAGGCCCUUUGCUUUAUCUUACUCAAUAGAAUUUAGCUGAGUUUGUAGUCGAAAUGAUCACUAAAACUUGGAGGUGAUGCAUGUAAUAAUGACUAACAUUUUUAUUGUUCCAUGUGUUUUAGGUGCUAUACUUUGCUAUACUUUAUUUCAAUCAAUCUCCAUAAAAAUCAUAUAAAAUUUGUUAUUAUGCUGGACUAAAUGUGCAAAAGCUGAAUCUCAGCUAGGGUAACUGGAUUACCCAGCAUCAUAUAACCAGUAAGUGGCAAGGCUGAAACCUGUGUGAUUAGAACAAGGCUGUAACUGCUACUCCAGAAUGUUUUUUAUGGAAGGUAGUAGCUCUCCCAGAAAGAAGAGGCUGAGAAAGAAAUUGGAAGCAAGUUUCAAAGUCUGCCCAGAGUCUAUAACGCAUAUUAAGCUAGGAAAUUAGCAUUUAACCCUGGCUCCAUCAAUAACAAGGUAUGAUCUUAGUUCACUGAGGUUUCUAGUGUAAUAAAAGAGGAUGACAGCAUUAAAUAAGUUCAAUGAAGUAUUCUGUAAUAUUCCUUGGCUCAGUAGUUCUAUGAAUUAUUGUUUUUUAAAAGUAAUGUGAAAUACUGCCUUACACUGGCAAAAAGAAAUCUGGAUGUUUACAUAGUCACAAUUGUAAUAUGAGUCCAUAGUGUAAUAUUCUUGCUGAAAAUGGACAAAUCUUGAGAGUUCAUGAGUAUUGGGAGCAUGUCCAUAAAACAGGAAGUGAUAGCCACACUGAAUUGUGCCUGGGUCAGACAUCCUCAGUGUCCAUUAAAUCUGGACUCAGGAAGAUGGAUGGACUCGCUACAAAUAUGUUGAAUUGGAAUUUCAGGAUCCAAGUCAGGAUGCAAAAUUUGUGUGGAACCGGGCCACAACUAUGAAGGUGUGAUGGUUAACUUUCUGUGUCAACUUGAUUGGGCCGCAAGAUGCCCAGAUAUUUGGCUAAAUAAAUUAUUUCUGGGUGUCUGUGAAAGUGUUUCCAGAUGAAAUGGGCAUUGGAAUCAGUAGACUAGAUUAAGCAGAUGGCCCUCCCCAGUGUGAGUGGACUUCACCCAAUCCAUCGAGGGGCAUCAUUCUAGGUCUUCUCCUGCCUGAGAAUUGAGAUACCUUAGGAUCCCCUGGUUCUCAUGCUUUCAUGAGAUAUGUUAUGAUAAGGUGUGAUAUAUCUAUUUGUUUUGUUUCUCUGGAGAAACUUGACUAAUACAGAAGGUAUCAAAGUAGAAAUUUAGAUCAAAGUGGGUAUCCAAAAAAAGUUUUAUCCAGGAGGACCAAGGCUUUACCCAGAGUCAGCCUUCUCUGUCUCCCACCAGAGCCACACCUGUAACAGGGAAGUGCACAGUUUCAAGGCUCAGUAAUUCAAAAGCAAAAGGAAAGAAAAAUGGACAGAAGGAAGGAAGGGCAGAAGGGAAGGGAGGAGUAAAAAAGGGAGGGGAAAAAGCAGACAAAGAAGUGAAGGACUGAAGUGAACAAUAGAGUAGAUUGUUGGAGGUCCCACUGUGGCACAGCAGAUCAGCAGCAGGAUCUCUGGAGCACUGGGCACAGGUUUGAUCCCCAGCCUGGUACAGUGGGUUAAAAGAUCUGGCAUUGCCGUGAUUGCAGUGUAGGUCAUAACUGCAUCUCAGAUCUGAUCCUUGGCCUAGGAACUACAUAUGAUGUGGGGCAGCCAAAAAAGAAAACAAACAAAAAAUAGAUGGCUUGGGGGAACAAAUGAGCUAAAAAAGAAAGAAAAAGGGAGGAGGGAAGAAAGAAAAGUUUUGGCAGAUUUCUUGGCAUACUGCAUGCUCUGGCUAUGGAAGAAUAUUUGCUAGAGAGCACCUUGCUUGCCGAGAAAUGCUGGGUGAAGGCAGGUGCUCUGAGAGAAAGAAAAAUCUUCUCAUUAGUGACAAUACAGAUUAUUCUAAAUCUUUCCAUGACAUUAUAGGUCACAGAUAUGUUUUGCUACUAGCAAGCUUAAUUGCCAGGAAAAGAUAAUAUUCUCUUGUUAUGGGAAUGUUUUGCUAACAGCAAAAUUAAUUGCUAGGAAAAGAUAAUAAACUCUCUGCCCAAAGCAUAGCUAAAGACACAAAUUGCACACUCUUCUUUAAAAACAUUUCAGCGACUCCAUUGGAUUAAUAGAUUGUAGACUUCCCAGAUUUCUGUUUCUCCCUUC
This 5000-nucleotide long non-coding RNA is filed under the name Sus scrofa (pig). RNAcentral's name for it is "lncRNA (ENSSSCG00000056289.1)". Lineage: Eukaryota; Metazoa; Chordata; Mammalia; Artiodactyla; Suidae. The record is from RNAcentral.